CCUACGGGUGGCAGCAGUGGGGGAUAUUGCACAAUGGGGGGAACCCUGAUGCAGCGACGCCGCGUGGGUGAAGGAGGGCUUCGGCAUGUAAAGCCCUAUCGGCAGGGAAGAAGCAAGACGGUACCUGACGAAGAAGCCCCGGCUAACUACGUGCCAGCAGCCGCGGUAAGACGGAGGGGGCGAGCGUUAUCCGGAUUCACUGGGUGUAAAGGGAGCGUAGACGGCCAUGCCAGCCAGGGGUGAAAGCCCGGGGCCCACCCCCGGGACUGCCCUUGGAACUGCAUGGCGGGAGUGCGGGAGGUGCAGGCGGAAUUCCUGGUGUCGCGGUGACCUGCGUAGCUAUCUGGAGGAACAUCAGUGGCGACGGCGACUCUCUGGCACAUACCUGACGCUGAGGAGCGAACGCGUGGGUAGCAAACAGGAUUCGAUACCCCAGUAGUC
This 441-nucleotide ribosomal RNA is filed under the name uncultured bacterium. Its description in RNAcentral is "partial 16S ribosomal RNA". It matches the Rfam family "Bacterial small subunit ribosomal RNA", at positions 338 to 795 of the family's 1533-position model. The record is from RNAcentral.